This 254-nucleotide ribosomal RNA is filed under the name uncultured bacterium. RNAcentral's name for it is "partial 16S ribosomal RNA". It matches the Rfam family "Bacterial small subunit ribosomal RNA", at positions 524 to 776 of the family's 1533-position model. The record is from RNAcentral.
UACGAAGGGGAUAAGCGUUACUCAGCAUUAUUGGGCGUAAAGGGUGCGUAGGUGGUUUAAUAAGUUAAUACGAAAAUCCAAGACAUUUAAUUUUUGUAAAGUGAUUAAUACUGUUAAACUAGAGUGUAAAAGAGGAUAGUAGUAUUCUUAGUGUAGAGGUAAAAUUCGUAAAUAUUAAGAGGACUAUCAAUAGGCGAAGGCAACUAUCUGGUUUAUUCUGACGCUGAGGCACGAAAGCAUGGGGAGCAAACAGG